Molecule: ribosomal RNA, 491 nt
Filed under: Pseudoalteromonas sp. KAT9
Lineage: Bacteria; Pseudomonadati; Pseudomonadota; Gammaproteobacteria; Alteromonadales; Pseudoalteromonadaceae
Description: bacterial SSU rRNA
Rfam family: Bacterial small subunit ribosomal RNA
Source: RNAcentral
UCAUGGCUCAGAUUGAACGCUGGCGGCAGGCCUAACACAUGCAAGUCGAGCGGUAACAGANAGUAGCUUGCUACUUUGCUGACGAGCGGCGGACGGGUGAGUAAUGCUUGGGAACAUGCCUUGAGGUGGGGGACAACAGUUGGAAACGACUGCUAAUACCGCAUAAUGUCUACGGACCAAAGGGGGCUUCGGCUCUCGCCUUUAGAUUGGCCCAAGUGGGAUUAGCUAGUUGGUGAGGUAAUGGCUCACCAAGGCGACGAUCCCUAGCUGGUUUGAGAGGAUGAUCAGCCACACUGGGACUGAGACACGGCCCAGACUCCUACGGGAGGCAGCAGUGGGGAAUAUUGCACAAUGGGCGCAAGCCUGAUGCAGCCAUGCCGCGUGUGUGAAGAAGGCCUUCGGGUUGUAAAGCACUUUCAGUCAGGAGGAAAGGUUNACGGUUAAUACCCNUUANCUGUGACGUUACUGACAGAAGAAGCACCGGCUAACUC